Balaenoptera acutorostrata (minke whale) is the source of this 2839-nucleotide RNA transcript. It is a transcript of the gene named protein-L-isoaspartate (D-aspartate) O-methyltransferase, with no coding region annotated. Lineage: Eukaryota; Metazoa; Chordata; Mammalia; Artiodactyla; Balaenopteridae. The record is from RefSeq and is a predicted model, not a curated record. The transcript has 9 exons.
CGCACGCGUGCCGCGGGGGAUGCCGGGAGCGCGCAGUGGCGGCAGCGGCGGCGACGGCAGUAGCAGCGGCAGCUACAGCGGGGACGCGAGCGGGGCGGUGACCGUGUGGGAGGUGGUCUCACUCUUGGGGAAGCUGCUGGGCACUGUCGCCGCGCUGAAGGUAGUUCUGUACCUGCUCCGGGUGUGCUUAGCGAUGGCCUGGAAAUCCGGCGGCGCCAGCCACUCGGAGCUAAUCCACAACCUCCGCAAAAAUGGAAUCAUCAAGACAGAUAAAGUAUUUGAAGUAAUGCUGGCCACAGACCGCUCUCACUAUGCAAAAUGUAACCCUUAUAUGGAUUCUCCACAAUCAAUAGGGUUCCAAGCAACAAUCAGUGCUCCACACAUGCAUGCAUAUGCACUAGAACUUCUAUUUGAUCAAUUGCAUGAAGGAGCUAAAGCUCUUGAUGUAGGAUCUGGAAGUGGAAUCCUUACUGCAUGUUUUGCACGUAUGGUUGGACCUAGUGGAAAAGUCAUAGGAAUUGACCACAUUAAAGAGCUAGUAGACGACUCAGUAAAUAAUGUCAGAAAGGAUGAUCCAAUGCUUUUGUCUUCAGGGAGAGUGCAACUGGUUGUGGGGGAUGGAAGAAUGGGAUAUGCCGAAGAAGCCCCUUAUGAUGGUAUUCAUGUAGGAGCUGCAGCCCCAGUUGUGCCUCAGGCACUAAUAGACCAGUUAAAGCCUGGCGGAAGAUUGAUAUUGCCAGUUGGUCCUGCAGGUGGAAACCAGAUGUUGGAGCAGUAUGACAAGCUACAAGAUGGCAGUGUCAAAAUGAAACCUCUGAUGGGAGUGAUAUACGUGCCUUUAACAGAUAAAGAAAAGCAGUGGUCCAGGAUUUCCAGUACUAUGUUGAAUAAAAGUGGCGAGAGUGGGCAUCCUUGUCUUGUUCCUGAUUUUAGAGGAAAAGCUCUCAGCUUUUCACCGUUGAAUAUGAUGUUAGCUGUGAGCUUGUCAUAUGUGGCCUUUAUUAUGUUGAGGUACGUUCCCUCUAUACCCAGGUUGUUGAGAGUUUUUAUCCUUUUCCCUUUUCAAAAAAAUUUUUAAAUGGAGAGGAUAUGUACUGUAUUGCUGGGCAAUAAGGAUAUUUAUUGACAAAAUCCUUAAUGCCUUGCAACAGGUAAAUAAAAUGUAAAAUUAUUAAAAAACAACAAUAGUAUCUUUAAUCCAUAUUUUAAAAAGCACAAGUGAAUUUAAUUUAUGAAUAGAGCACUUUGCAAGUGAACUCUUUGAAGAUUAAGUACUUUAAUGCUUGCAUGAAUUUAAGUAAAAGCUGUUUUGUGAGAAUUACAGUACUUAAAUUAUUUGGAAGACUAUAUUAAGAGGAACAAGAACUGAUAACUUAUCAUUUAACAGAUAAUCCAGUGCUGUAUGACAAACACAGCUUAUGGGAGAAGUCAUUUUAAAAAUAUUUUCUUGCACAAUUCAUAAAUUCAUAUUUUAUAAAAAAUACUGUACUGGCCAAUAAUCCCUUAAUUCACCUACCUGGGAAAUUUUAGCUCUUUAUUUACCUUCCCUUCAAAUUUAUUUUAACAGCUUUUAAAAAACUUAAAAAAUUUUAUUAUAGACAAGUUGCAAGAAUAGUACAAAGAGCUCCUGAAUCUCUUCAUCCAGAGUUAUCGAUUAUUAACAUUUUUCCACAUUCCUUUUCACUCCCUCUUUCUCUAUAUAUAUACAUACAUGUAACAUUUUUUCCUAAGUCAUUUGAGAUUUAGUUGCAAACAUCAUACUUCUUUACCCCUAAAGUACUUGAAUCUUUAACAAUGUUUUUUUUUAACUCAGAUUACCCUCAAAUAAGAAGCUUUUAGGCUUUUCUGGUAGCUCUAUUUUUUUACUUUUAACAGCUUUAUUGAGGUAUAAUUUAUAUACCAUACAAUUUAUUUUAGACUGCAUUUUUAUUCCUUCCUUCCUCUCACUGGCAGUUGCUGGUACAGUGCUGCACCUGGCUGAGCGAAUGGUUUCUUUUGGAGCUGAUAAAGCUGCCUUAUGAAAUCAGCUGACAGGGACGAACUGUAAAAGCAACAUCAGCUUGACCAGUAUAUAAUAUUACAGUGGAUUGCUCAUCUCAGUCCUCAAAGCUUUUGAAAAUCAACAGCAUCACAGCUUGUUUUGGACUUUCUUACACUAUUUUCAGCAUGAAAAUGUGUGGUUUUGUGGGGUUUCUAAUUCUUCAAAGAGGCACAGAAGCCAAAUUGGUAGAAGAAAGAUGCAAAUAUAAAUUUGUGUAUUAUUACUUUAACAUGCCCACGUUUUACUUUAAAUGUUAAAAGAAAGGGUUCUGCAAAAUGGAAAACAUAGUUUGUGAAUUGAUUUUUGAGGAGUGGUUUUUCUUUUCUUAGACACUUAAUUCUGUUCAGAUGUUAAUUUAUCAGAUUGCUUUUGUGCAUCAGGUAACACCACCAUUCAUAAGUUAAGAUUCUUGGUUUUUGGGUGUAUGUUAGAUGCUACUAAGAAAAUAGAGAUGAGCUUCCUUUUUAAAGCUUUUGAUGUGGUGUCAUAGAAUAGCAUGUUGUAGAUACAAUCGGCUGCUUUGUUACCUUAAAACUAAGCAUUUGUAAAUAUUAAAACUUAAGAAGAUGACAGGUGAUGUCCCUUAAAACACUCAGCUGUUCAGAUUGGACAUAACUGACAUAGUUCUUCCUUUCUCUCUUUAAAAAUUCUAGGAGACUUGUAGCUCAGUAUUGUUUUCCUGUUUCUGAUUUGCUGCUCAUAAUGUACAUGGAUUUAACAUGCUGUGUAAGCUGCGUCCUAGUCACUGAACAGUUGAUGCAGUGCUGCUUUGCCAAAUAAAGUUAAAAGUGAAAGGCA